RNAcentral lists this ribosomal RNA (666 nucleotides) under Triticum aestivum (bread wheat). RNAcentral's name for it is "partial small subunit ribosomal RNA". The record is from RNAcentral. Lineage: Eukaryota; Viridiplantae; Streptophyta; Magnoliopsida; Poales; Poaceae.
AUGAAGCUUGUGGAUCUUGUGGAUGUCAAAAUUGGAAGGUCUUAUAAGUUGGUUGUCACCACCUAUGCAGGUCUUUACAGGUACCGAGUUGGUGAUCUUCUCACCGUGAGUGACUUCUACAACGCAACGAUGUUGUUCCUCUUCUCGGGGCACCAUGAUGUCAUCUUAAGCAUAGACCAUGAGAAGAUAAGCGAGGAGGAACUACUCAGGGCAAUUUCACAGGCUAUUGAGCUCCAUCUUGGCCCUCUAGAACAUAUGCUCAGUGGAAGCACCGCGUUUGCAGACAUAUCCAAGUUGACAGGCCACUACGUCCUGUUCUGGGAGAUAACCAAUGCAAGAAGUAAGCAUGUCGUUGGCGACAUCGCAUAUCAAUCCGUCAUGGAGAAUUGUUGCUCAACAAUUGAAGAAUGCUUCGGCCAAAUGUACUGCAAAUUCAGGCAGCAUGCAAACAUCACCACGAUCGAGAUAAGGGUGCUCGAGCAGGCCGCGUUCGACGCUCUGAUGGACUUCUUUGUGUCUAGAGAGGCAUUGGCGGGCCAGUACAAGACUCCAACGGCUAUUUGGUCAAUAGAAGGGAUGAUGGUGCUAGGAGAGAGGGUGGUGGCAAGGUUCUUUAGCAAAGAAAACCCCCGUGGUUCCCUAUAUGAUAAUUACGUGAAGAAAUGA